GCGACGAUGCGUAGGGGUUCUGAGAGGAAGGUCCCCCACACUGGUACUGAGACACGGACCAGACUCCUACGGGAGGCAGCAGUGAGGAAUAUUGGUCAAUGGGAGAGAUCCUGAACCAGCCAAGCCGCGUGAGGGAAGACGGCCCUAUGGGUUGUAAACCUCUUUUGUCGGAGAACAAAACCCGGGACGUGUCCCGGACUGCGUGUAUCCGAAGAAAAAGCAUCGGCUAACUCCGUGCCAGCAGCCGCGGUAAUACGGAGGAUGCGAGCGUUAUCCGGAUUUAUUGGGUUUAAAGGGUGCGUAGGCGGUCCGUUAAGUCAGCGGUAAAAUUGCGGGGCUCAACCCCGUCGAGCCGUUGAAACUGGCAGACUUGAGUUGGCGAGAAGUACGCGGAAUGCGCGGUGUAGCGGUGAAAUGCAUAGAUAUCGCGCAGAACUCCGAUUGCGAAGGCAGCGUACCGGCGCCAGACUGACGCUGAGGCACGAAAGCGUGGGGAUCGAACAGGAUUAGAUACCCUGGUAGUCCACGCAGUAAACGAUGAAUGCUGGUUGUCCGGGUCGAAUGAGAUCUGGGCGGC
RNAcentral lists this ribosomal RNA (577 nucleotides) under uncultured bacterium. RNAcentral's name for it is "bacterial SSU rRNA". It matches the Rfam family "Bacterial small subunit ribosomal RNA", at positions 273 to 847 of the family's 1533-position model. The record is from RNAcentral.